CCCCUAGAUGUUCUGGGCCGCACGCGCGCUACACUGAACAGUUCAACAAGUCUUAACCUUGGCCGAUAGGUCUGGGUAAUCUUUGAACGCUGUUCGUGAUUGGGAUAGACCUUUGCAAUUAUGGGUCUUCAACGAGGAAUUCCUAGUAAACGCAAGUCAUCAGCUUGCAGUGAUUACGUCCCUGCCCUUUGUACACACCGCCCGUCGCACCUACCGAUUGAAUGGUCCGGUGAAAUCUCGGGACGGCGGCUUGGUCGCUUGCGUCCGACUGCUGAAACUUGAUUAAACCAUAGCAUUUAGAGGAAGGUGAAGUCGUAACA
RNAcentral lists this ribosomal RNA (320 nucleotides) under uncultured eukaryote. RNAcentral describes it as "partial 18S ribosomal RNA". It matches the Rfam family "Eukaryotic small subunit ribosomal RNA", at positions 1470 to 1796 of the family's 1831-position model. The record is from RNAcentral.